RNAcentral lists this ribosomal RNA (752 nucleotides) under uncultured bacterium. RNAcentral describes it as "bacterial SSU rRNA". It matches the Rfam family "Bacterial small subunit ribosomal RNA", at positions 8 to 796 of the family's 1533-position model. The record is from RNAcentral.
AGAGUUUGAUCCUGGCUCAGAACGAACGCUGGCGGCAUGCCUAACACAUGCAAGUCGAACGUGAUCCAGGCCUUCGGGUUUGGUGAAAGUGGCAGACGGGUGAGUAACGCGUGGGAACCUGCCCAAUGGUAGGGAAUAACCGCGGGAAACUGCGGCUAAUACCCUAUGACCCCUGCGGGGGAAAGAUUUAUCGCCAUUGGAGGGGCCCGCGUCGGAUUAGGUAGUUGGUAGGGUAACGGCCUACCAAGCCUUCGAUCCGUAGCUGGUCUGAGAGGAUGAUCAGCCACACUGGGACUGAGAUACGGCCCAGACUCCUACGGGAGGCAGCAGUGGGGAAUAUUGGACAAUGGGGGCAACCCUGAUCCAGCAAUGCCGCGUGAGUGAUGAAGGCCUUCGGGUUGUAAAGCUCUUUCGGCGGGGAAGAUGAUGACGGUACCCGCAGAAGAAGCCCCGGCUAACUUCGUGCCAGCAGCCGCGGUAAUACGAAGGGGGCUAGCGUUGUUCGGAAUUACUGGGCGUAAAGGGCGCGUAGGCUGUGCUGUAAGUCAGGCGUGAAAUCCCCGGGCUCAACCUGGGAAUUGCGCAUGAUACUGCGGCGCUUGAAGACGGGAGAGGAUGGCGGAAUUCCCAGUGUAGAGGUGAAAUUCGUAGAUAUUGGGAAGAACACCGGGCGAAGGCGGCCAUCUGGCCCGUAAUUGACGCUGAGGCGCGAAAGCGUGGGGAGCAAACAGGAUUAGAUACCCCCGUAGUCC